CAGCAGCCGCGGUAAUACAGAGGGUGCGAGCGUUAAUCGGAUUUACUGGGCGUAAAGCGUGCGUAGGCGGCUUCUUAAGUCGGAUGUGAAAUCCCUGAGCUUAACUUAGGAAUUGCAUUCGAUACUGGGAAGCUAGAGUAUGGGAGAGGAUGGUAGAAUUCCAGGUGUAGCGGUGAAAUGCGUAGAGAUCUGGAGGAAUACCGAUGGCGAAGGCAGCCAUCUGGCCUAAUACUGACGCUUAGGUACGAAAGCAUUGGGAGCAAACAGGAUUAGAUACCCCCGUAGUCCCUGUCUCUUAUAC
Molecule: ribosomal RNA, 301 nt
Filed under: uncultured bacterium
Lineage: Bacteria
Description: partial 16S ribosomal RNA
Rfam family: Bacterial small subunit ribosomal RNA
Source: RNAcentral